CAUGUCUAAGUUCACACCCUCGUACGGUGAAACCGCGAAUGGCUCAUUAAAUCAGUCGAGGUUCCUUAGAUGAUCCAUUUCUACUUGGAUAACUGUGGUAAUUCUAGAGCUAAUACAUGCCCAACAGCUCCGACCCCGGGCUUCGCGGUUCGGGGAAAGAGCGCUUUUAUUAGUUCAAAACCAGUCGGGGGUUUCGGCCCUCGUGCUUUGGUGACUCUGGAUAACUUUGAGCCGAUCGCAUGGCCUCGAGCCGGCGACGCAUCUUUCAAAUGUCUGCCCUAUCAAAUGACGACGGUACGUGAUCUGCCUACCGUGUUGACUACGGGUAGCGGGGAAUCAGGGUUCGAUUCCGGAGAGGGAGCAUGAGA
This 368-nucleotide ribosomal RNA is filed under the name Bellamya sp. 4 AJ-2009. RNAcentral describes it as "SSU rRNA". It matches the Rfam family "Eukaryotic small subunit ribosomal RNA", at positions 54 to 401 of the family's 1831-position model. The record is from RNAcentral. RNAcentral also lists the same sequence under 1 other name. Lineage: Eukaryota; Metazoa; Mollusca; Gastropoda; Architaenioglossa; Viviparidae.